CACACUUCUGAGGAGCCUUAAUGAAGGGAUUUGAGCUGAUUCCCUGCUGCAGUUGAACCAAAGAAUAUAUUAACUCAGACAGCAGCAACACAGACAGCGGGAACUGGAAGGAGCAGACGAGGAUCUGACAAAUGGGAUUUCUCCUGAGCCAAAACCUGACUGUGGGCUUAUCUCAGCCUGAGGUCACCCAGUGGGAGUCAACAGCACACCUGUCUUCAGCUGUUAACACCACCAUCAUCGUGCUGGGCGUGUUGACCUUUGCCCUCCAGCUGUGUUUGGUUCUGUUCUUCAUGCUGAGAUGUUGGAGAUUAGACAACAGAGUACGAGAGGCUCUCAAACAACCCGAGACUCUAAAACUCUUUGCACCUUCUUCCUGCCACAUAGACAUUUAUAAAAAGGCAAACUAUACACUAUCUGAUAAUGCUGCUGCUGCUUCAUCACCUGUGAUGUCUGCAUCAUGUGGACAAUAUGAACCAAUCACACACUCUCUGUUUGGACCUUCCAUACCCUGGGACCUCGUUCAGCGCUGACAGGCUCCUGACCAAACAUAAAUCAAAAUGUGGCUUUUUAAGGCUCAUGAUCAAAAUAAUGAUGAAUCCUUUUUACAAUGUAAUGAUAUACCAUGAAAAAAUGUGUCUGCAUUAAACUGCAGUUAUUACUGUUUUUAAUUUUUUUAGAAUCCUUAUAAACGUGUUCAU
Long non-coding RNA from Notolabrus celidotus (New Zealand spotty), 698 nucleotides. RefSeq lists it as uncharacterized. NCBI's taxonomy places the organism in Eukaryota, Metazoa, Chordata, Actinopteri, Labriformes, Labridae. The transcript has 4 exons. The record is from RefSeq and is a predicted model, not a curated record.